Molecule: non-coding RNA, 4425 nt
Organism: Macaca mulatta (Rhesus monkey)
Lineage: Eukaryota; Metazoa; Chordata; Mammalia; Primates; Cercopithecidae
Source: RefSeq, a predicted model, not a curated record
UCCUGAUCUCAGGUGAUCCACCAGCCUCAGCCUCCCAAAGUUUGGGAUUACAGGCCUGAGCCAGUGUCUGGCCCCAAAAAUCUGUUUAUGUUGAUCUUUCUUGUCUAAGAUCUCCUUACCUGUUAAAUGGGAAUAAUGCAUUUUUUAAAAGUUUACUAGAAUAAUUUGGAAAUUCAUCUGCUAGUUGUUCUAUCAUUUCCACAAGAGUCAGAGAUUUCCAGGAUAAGUGGAAGCAUUUCUACAGUUCCUUCAUGCCUGUGAUAAUGUAUAAGAUGUAGCUGACUAAAUUAUCUUAUUCUUCUCAAAAGUAUUAAACAGAGGGCUUUAACCUACUGUAAUACCUAACUUUGUUUGAACAUGGAUAGACUCUCCCUUAGCUACCUAACCUUGUUUUAAUAUGAAUAGACUCUCCCCUAGAUGAGAAAAAUGGAUGGACUCCAUUUGGCUCCUUCAUUUGCAAGACAUCGAGGACUCCUUACCCACCCCCUUCCUCAAGGAGCUAACUUGUGUAAGCUGAGUCUCAGCCUAUCAAAGAGUCCAAUUAACUGAUAAGGUGCUGAGGCAAACUGGUGUCCACAGUUCCCAGCAAUGUACUCAGAGAUGGUACCAUAAAGCCCCCGCAUUUGUCUGGUAGAUAAUGCUCAGAGCCCCCUCACCUAUCACCUUAUGAUGAAUUUAAAGCCCCUGCACCUGGAACUGUUUGUUUUCCUGUAACCAUUUGUCUUUUUAACUUUUUUUUUCUUAUUUGUCUGUUUCUCUUCUUUAAAGUUGCUGCAGCUAGAAUCCCCCUCCCCACUUUAAACCAAAGUAUAAAAGAAAAUCUAGCCCCUUCUUCGGGGUCGAAAGAACUUCGAGCGCUAGCCAUCUCUCGCUCGCAGGCUGAUGAAGGACUCCUGAAUUUGCCUUAAAGUGUGGCGUUUUGCCCUAACUCACUUGGGUACAACAUUUGGAGGCCCCAGCGAGAUAACUUGCCACUGGGUGAGGGCCGGGCUUGCUCUGGGCUCCCCCGGAUAGACGGCCAGCUUACAGGGGAGGCAACACCUGAAAAAGUUCCAGGUCCCCAAAAGGCGACAGUCUUCUGGAGGAGCGCGGAUCGACUACUGGUGUGUGCCCACAAAAUUCAACCUCAGAGUCCUCAGCUUCUGGCCCUGAGGAGUCUCUCCAACAGGUGCGAGAUAUCAUCCAGCCACUCGUCCAGCGAACUCAUCCCAAUCCAGUUCCUGACCAGAUGGGGCCUUGCCACUCAUUCCAGACGGGUGACCUGGUGUUUGUUAAAAAGUUCCAGAAAGAAGGACUCACUCCUCCUUGGAAAGGAUCUCAUACUGUCAUCCUCACCACGCUGACGGCUCUGAAGGUGGAUGGCAUUCCUGCUUCGAUUCAUCACUCCCGCAUCAAAAAGACAAACAAAGGCCAGCAAGAAACAUGGGUUCCCAAGCCUGGGCCAGGCCCCUUAAAACUGGGUUUAAGUCAAGUAAAGCCAUUAGAUUAAUUCCUUUUAUUUACCUCUCCUGUCUGUUUCCACCUGAUAUGCCCUCCGCGCCCCUUCCUAUUCCUUUCUCCUCACUUCUUUCGCAACAGGACAUGUAUUUGCAAACACUACUUGGAAGACAGGAACCUCCAAGAAAGUCUCUUUUGCAGUCGAUUUAUGUGCUUUGUUCCCAGAACCUGCCCAUACCCACGAAGAACAACGUAAGCUGCCAGUCAUAGGAGCAGGAAACGUUGACCUUGCUGCAGGAUUUAGAUACUCUGUCAACCAGACUGGAUGUGGGAGCUCCAAAGGUGCAGAAAAAGGACUCCAAAAUGUUGACUUUUACCUCUGUCCUGGAAAUCACCCUGACUCUAGUUGUCGAGAUACUUACCAGUUUUUCUGCCUUGACUGGACAUGUGUAACUUUAGCCACUUAUUCUGGGGGAUUAACCCCAUCUUCAACUCUUUCCAUUGCUCGUGCUUCCCAUCCUAGACUGUGUAGUACAAAAAUUGCAAUCCUCUUACUAUAACCGUUCAUAACCCUAAUUCAGCUCAAUGGUACUAUAGUAUGUCAUGGGAAUUAAGGCUUUAUAUCCUGGGAUUUGAUGUUGGAACUAUGUUCACCAUCCAGAAAAAAAUCCUGGUCUCAUGGAGCCCUCCUAAGCCAAUUGGGCCUUUAACUGAUCUAGGCGACCCUAUGUUCCAAGAACACCCAGAUAAGGUCAAUUUAACUGUUCCGCUGCCAUUCCUAGUUCCUAAACCCCAACUGCAAUGACAACAUCUCCAACCCAGCCUGAUGUUCAUACUAGGUGGGCUACAUCACCUCAUUAAUCUCACCCAGCCUAAACUAGCUCAAGAUUGUUGGCUAUGUCUAAAAGCCAAACCCCCUUACUAUGUGGGAUUAGGAGUAGAAGCCAUGCUUAGAAGUGGCCCUCUAUUUUGUCGUGCAUGACCCCGUGCCCUCACACUAGGAGACGUGUCUGGGAAUGCUUCUUGUCUAAUUAGCACCGGAUAUAACUUUCCUGCUUCUCCAUUUCGGGUUACUUGUAAUCAGUCCCUGCUUACUUCCUUAAGCACUUCAGUCUGUUACCAGGCACCUAACAAUACCUGGUUAGCCCGCACCUCUGGUCUCACUCACUGUAUCGAUGGGACUGAACCAGGACCUCUCUUGUGCGUGUUAGUUCAUGUACUUCCCCAGCCAUACAUGUACAGUAGACCAGAAGGACAACUCCUCAUCUCUCCCCCUGGAUUGCAUCCCAGGUUUCGCUGAGGUUCUCCGGUCCACAAGUAGGAGAGGCCGAAUAAGUCACGCGGGCUCCUGCUCGGCAGCGGACUUUUAUGCAUUGGUACUGGAAGGGGGAGGGCAGUGGGUGGGAUAAGGGCGUGAUAGGGGCGUCUCCAUAGGCAUGGCCAGGUAAGUUUCAAUCUCUUCGGAUUGACGUCACCUGGCGCAUGCUCCCGUUGAUCUGCAUCUUCCCAGGCCCGGGCUGCAUUUUCCCGGCCCGGGAAAGUUGGUGAGGAAGAACCCGGAAGCAACAUGGAUUGUGCCUUCUUGUUCACCUUCCUCCAUCUUGUCCUUUCUCCCUCACCCAAACAGUGAACACCUCUGCACUGAUGACUGCCUGCUUUCCCACGGUCAGCCCAUUUGUGCUCAUGAACCGCCAUCCCAGGAUACCCAGGCUGGGCUCUGCCUGCUGUGGAGAGAAUACACAGUUUCCUAAGCUGGUCAGAUAGUUCUUCGAUUUAUGUGGAUUGUCUUCUUUCUAUACAAUGAAUGGCCAUUUGUUGAUUUCUUCCUGCAGAAGGUUAAGCACCACAAUUGGCAGACAAUUGCAAAGUGUGUGUGAGACUCAGAAUCCGUCUUUGCCCUUCAAGGAUUUUUCAUGUAUCAUAAACGAUAGUUACAGAUGAAAUGUUUUGCAAAGUGCUUUCAUAAUUUUCAUUUUGUUAAUGUUGCAAUGGAGAAGUUUAGAGGCAAAUUAUUCAUUAAAUGUGGGCCUCUAAUAAUUUGGAAUAAUGCAACUUUAAACCAAUUAAUAAAAAAUGUUAUGAAAUUAACUGGGCACAGCAGUGUAAGAAAAGUAAUGAAAUAAAGCUUUAAGUGAUGAUCAAUGAAGAAAGUGAGAAGAAAGUCAUAGUUCACACCCUUUUCUGUUUUGAAUUAAUCUUCAUUUUUUUCCCAUUUUCAAGUUGUAGAAUUUUAUUUUUGUCCUUGAUGAUUAUACUUUAUUUUAAUGAGACUAGUUUUUGAUUAUUUAAAAAGAAUUCUGUCCUAUAAUUUUUCUGAUGUGUAGACCCUAUGUUCAUGCUUCUUAUAUUUUUAUGAAGAUUUUCUCUCUUUUGGUUUUGAAGGAGCAUUCUCUGCUCCUUCACCUGAACGUUCAGCCUUUUAAUCCAGAGUAAUUGUAUAAAAUUUGGUAUUUAUCCCACAUAUUCUGUUGUUUGUAUGUUUUUGUAAUUUAUACUUAAUAUUUUGAGUUUAAAAUUUUUGCUACUUAUAUCAUUCUACUGUUGUUUCUUCUAUUUUUGAAUAAAAUCUAGACGCAGACUUUUCUAAAAGGUAAGAAGGAAAAGCAGCCGUUCUACCACCGGGCCUGGGAUGGAGUUGGAGGGAAAAUAAUGUAUCAGAUCCUUCAGGAUGUUAAAGACCAGGUUUUGUCAUUUUACCUUAAAUUCAUUGUUUCUUUAAUGAAUGCAAGCUUUUUUUUUUUAAAUUGCAAGUCUAGUCGAAUAGACCAAAUGUUCCUACUUCUAAAAUAAGCUACAAGUCAUCUUUUUCUAUGAAAAUGUGACCUGGUGCCACAGCGAAACUUUCUCUAAUAGCAGCCGUAUCAUCAGCCGGUGGCAGCAAAGAAAUGCUAAUUUCUGGCAUCCCAUGGGCUCCUAUUGAAGCAACUUCAUAAAGCAUGAAGAUAUAUAUUCUUCUGAAGUUUCAAACAAAUAAAAAUGAUCAUUGUG